AUUGAACGCUGGCGGCAGGCCUAACACAUGCAAGUCGAGCGGUAGAGAGAAGCUUGCUUCUCUUGAGAGCGGCGGACGGGUGAGUAAUGCCUAGGAAUCUGCCUGGUAGUGGGGGAUAACGUUCGGAAACGGACGCUAAUACCGCAUACGUCCUACGGGAGAAAGCAGGGGACCUUCGGGCCUUGCGCUAUCAGAUGAGCCUAGGUCGGAUUAGCUAGUUGGUGGGGUAAUGGCUCACCAAGGCGACGAUCCGUAACUGGUCUGAGAGGAUGAUCAGUCACACUGGAACUGAGACACGGUCCAGACUCCUACGGGAGGCAGCAGUGGGGAAUAUUGGACAAUGGGCGAAAGCCUGAUCCAGCCAUGCCGCGUGUGAAGAAGGUCUUCGGAUUGUAAAGCACUUUAAGUUGGGAGGAAGGGCAGUAAAUUAAUACUUUGCUGUUUUGACGUUACCGACAGAAUAAGCACCGGCUAACUCUGUG
Molecule: ribosomal RNA, 482 nt
Filed under: uncultured bacterium
Lineage: Bacteria
Description: partial 16S ribosomal RNA
Rfam family: Bacterial small subunit ribosomal RNA
Source: RNAcentral